Molecule: long non-coding RNA, 948 nt
Organism: Helianthus annuus (common sunflower)
Lineage: Eukaryota; Viridiplantae; Streptophyta; Magnoliopsida; Asterales; Asteraceae
Exons: 3
Source: RefSeq, a predicted model, not a curated record
AAACUAGUAAAAAUAGAGGGGUUAAAUGUUGAAAUAACUAAACUUAUUUAAACCAAAAAACCCUAAAACACACCCAUACGCUACGCAGCCGCUCUCUUUCUUCCCCCUUCUUUCUUCACCUUCUUCCUGGACACAUUGUUUAAACUAACUCAGCAUGUUCCCGCCUAAAAUUAGCCAUGUAUCGUUGUACCAAAACGAUUUAGAACACCGUACCAGUUGAAUCGAAACAUGGUACCAAUUCAAUUCGGAUCGCAAAAUAACAAGAAGCGGAUCGCUGUACCCAACCGAUUUGGAACUUCGAACCAGUUCAAUCUGAAACACCGUACCACAUCGUUCCGGUACGACUGCGAAUUGCGAUUGGGUACACCACGAUCCAAUACGUGGGUCGUGGCAAACCCAGCGAUUUAGAUUGGAACAAAGAUGUGGAUGUAAUGGUGGGGAAGUGGUAACAUGGAGGGAUUGGAGUGUGCCGUACAACCCUGCCCUCUAGGCAACUUAUCUUGUUUUUAUGAGAGAGAGACUUCACCAACAUCCGCUCCCUCUUCAUGUGCCUUGUCUUAAAAGUGCACUUAACGUCAUUAUAGCGACUAAAAUGUGAUUAUCAGGGCAGUGGUGAAGCUUUAUAUUUCCGAUCGGGGGUUGGAAAUGUAUAUACCCAAAAAUUUCUAUAAAAUGAGGGGUCGAAAACGUAUAUACCCAAAAGUUUCUGUACGAAAACUACAUACUCUCUACUACUGAGCAAAAAGUUCGGGGUCGGCCGCCCCUUCCUCCCCCACUAUGCUACGCCCCUGCUCGCAGGGCCAAGGAAAACUCUUGUUAUGUUCCGGAUGACAGGAUUUUAGACAAGGGAAACUUGCUUUGAAGUCAAGUCUAGAGAAUAUUUGGUUAUCAUAUGUAAACUCGAAUCAAACUUUCUAUAUCAAAUAUAAAUCUAGUACGGUUAAUGUA